Molecule: transfer RNA, 63 nt
Filed under: Dendronereis chipolini
Lineage: Eukaryota; Metazoa; Annelida; Polychaeta; Phyllodocida; Nereididae
Description: tRNA-Leu
Source: RNAcentral
AAUAGGUUGGCAGAGGUAUGCACUUGACUUAGGAUCAACCCACAGGAAAUUUCCUACCUAUUA